UCACAUAAUGCUGAAGGCUGGCAUUGAGAAUUUUGAGCAUUACUUUGCUAGUGUGUGAGAUGAAAGCAAUUGUGUGAUAGCUUGAACGUCCUUUGGCACUGCCUUUCUUUGGGAUUGGAAUGAAAACUGACCUUUUCCAGUCCUGUGGCCACUGCUGAGUUU
Cervus elaphus (red deer) is the source of this 162-nucleotide long non-coding RNA. RefSeq lists it as uncharacterized. The transcript has 3 exons. NCBI's taxonomy places the organism in Eukaryota, Metazoa, Chordata, Mammalia, Artiodactyla, Cervidae. The record is from RefSeq and is a predicted model, not a curated record.